Molecule: long non-coding RNA, 208 nt
Organism: Centruroides sculpturatus (bark scorpion)
Lineage: Eukaryota; Metazoa; Arthropoda; Arachnida; Scorpiones; Buthidae
Exons: 3
Source: RefSeq, a predicted model, not a curated record
CUAAUGGAUAUUUAUUUGAAAAAAAUUAACAAUAUUAACAAUAUGGACCCGAUGUCACUUAUCGAGAUAGCCAAAAUGGCUCAAAAUGUUCAGUUGCAGUAUGCUAUGCGACUGUCGAUGAAUGCCGUAGACAUCAUCGAGGAUCUACUACAAAAGGAUCCGAACAAACGUCUUCAAGAAGGAGACAUCUGAAUACAGAUUUUUUGAU